UGAAGAUGAAACAAACCUCAAGUUUUUCCACCUGGAAUCUCUCCUUCACUUUCGCUUCCGGCAUUCUACGAAUCCAAAGUUGGGGUUUUUAGUUUUGUUUUAGGGAUUAGAAGUUUGCUGGAGUAGUUCCUUAGCUGAGAUCAAGUGGUAAUCCAUGGAAUGAGCUCUCUAUCUUUGGAUUUCAUCCAGUAUAUUUGACGCAUUUAUCUUCAGUCAUAGUUACCAUGAGUUUGAGAUAAGUGAGUAUUCAUAUGCUGGAUGUGAAGUUAUUGAUGGAAAGCUACUGAAUUUGGUUGUUUUCAGUGUCAAGAUGUGAAAAAGGUUUGAUUUUUAGUGAGAUUUUGUGGUAAUGUGGUGGUUGUGGUUUGUUGCAGUGUGCUACUUUGAGAUUCCAUGGCUGGGGAGAUUGAAGAUUGCUUGGAAACGAAGGCUGACAGUUUGCAUAAUGGUUCCAUAUCAUUUGGACGAUUCGAGACUGAAUCAUUAUCUUGGGAAAGAAGAUCAUCGUUCUCUCACAACAAGUAUCUUGAGGAGGUUGAAAAGUGCUCUACCCAUGGUUCAGUUAAUCAGAAGAAAGCAUAUUUCGAAGCUCACUUCAAGAAGAAGCCUCUUAAUCAGUUUUUAGCACAGAGUAGAGAUAGAGCUCAAUGCCUAACUAGUGAAAGUAGCCAUGAAAACAGUGAAAUCCACACUCAGGAAUGUCAAGAUCGUGGAGCUCAAUGCCUAACUAGUGAAAGUAGCCAUGAAGAAAGUGAAAUCUACACUCAGGAAUGUCAAGAUCGUGGUAUCUCAGAUGACCUUGAAGAUGGAGUGACAGAACAUGGAUAUGAAGAUGGAGUGACAGAACAUGGAUAUGAAGAUGGAGUGACAGAGCAUGGAUAUGAAGAUGGAAUGACAGAGCAUGGACAUGAAGAAAUUCCACCCUCUGGAAUUUCAGAACAAUGCACACCUGUGGAAGAUAAUGUUCAAGGCACUGCAGUUGAACUGGUGGAUCAUAUUGACAAAACUCAACCUUUGCAUGAGAAUGACUCAGAUGUGGUUGUUAAUCAGAAAUAUGGAAAAGAACAUGGGGUUACAGAAGGAUAUCCUGAGGAGGAUAGUUUAUCCCAGAGAUCUUUUGUUGAGAAAAAUAGUUAUCCUAGCUUGAGGGAGAUGAAAGAAAUCUCAAAGGUAAAAGCAAUUGUUCAACAGAAAGGUGCAGAAACAAAAUUGAAGGCUCAACCACCUUCUUGUCAAACUCCAAGCAAGAGCUCUACUCAAAUGAAUCUACCUCAUUCCGGCAAGGAAUUCUUCAAAACUUUGAGGAAAAUGAGGGAAGAGCUAAGAGCAAAACCAGAUGAGCAAUCACCUAUCAGUAUUCCACCAAGUACAGUUUCAGGCUUCAAUCCUCCAAAAUCAGAGGGCUCUUCAGGAUCUCUAAAAACUAAAGCACGGCAAGAAAAUAGAAGUGUAAAAGACCAAAGAGAAAAGAAGGGUGGUGCCAUCCGUCAUUCCACAUCUAUAAAGCCUAAACAGGUUAUUACUCCAGCCAAAACCGAAAGUAAGCAGCGUACUGCAUUCAGUUUCAGAAGUGAUGAAAGGGCUGAAAAAAGAAAAGAGUAUUCAAUGAAAAUGGAAGAAAAAUUUCGAGCGAAAGAGGCUGAGACGAGUGAAAUCUUAGCGAGGACUCAGGAAGAGACAGAAGCUGAGAUAAAGCAGCUUCGGAAGAGCCUCAAUUUCAAAGCAACACCGAUGCCUUCUUUCUAUCAUGAAACUCAAACAACUAGAGUCUCUGAUACAAAAAAGAUUGUCACUCCACAAACGACUACAUCGACUAAGUUGCAAACCAAGAGUAAGAACAUGAAGAAGGCUUGAACCUGAAUCAACAAGUUGCAGUACUAACAGAGGGGGAAAAUUCAGAAAAUCAAAACAGGUGGAAAAUGUGCACCAGCAGACAUCUUUAUAGGCCAAACAACAUGGAAUGACACUUUGCAACAGAAAAGAUACACAGUGUUGAUUGCUAAUGUUGGUCAAGUUUCUGUUACUGAUAUUCAUGUCUCUUGUGAUGGUUUCAAUCCAAGAGGAUUAAUCAUGAAGAAACCAGGCAUUUUCAAGAAAGAACGCAGGGGUGAUUGUCUUGUUAUUGAAGGAGGGAGAAUCAAUUCUGGAGACUCUGUUACUUUUGAUUAUAUUAAUGAUUUCCAGUUUAACUUAUAUCCCAUCAGUGUCCAAUGUUUAAUGUGAAAGAACAUUGGAUAAAUAAAAGAUUACAAGAGCCUAUGAAUAAACAUUAGAGAUUCAGAA
This is an RNA transcript of Dioscorea cayenensis subsp. rotundata (Guinea yam), 2283 nucleotides long. It is a transcript of the gene named protein WVD2-like 7, with no coding region annotated. The record is from RefSeq and is a predicted model, not a curated record. The transcript has 11 exons. Lineage: Eukaryota; Viridiplantae; Streptophyta; Magnoliopsida; Dioscoreales; Dioscoreaceae.